RNAcentral lists this transfer RNA (101 nucleotides) under Apiotrichum porosum. Its description in RNAcentral is "tRNA-Val". It matches the Rfam family "tRNA". From Rfam's summary of the family: Transfer RNA (tRNA) molecules are approximately 80 nucleotides in length. Their secondary structure includes four short double-helical elements and three loops (D, anti-codon, and T loops). Lineage: Eukaryota; Fungi; Basidiomycota; Tremellomycetes; Trichosporonales; Trichosporonaceae. The record is from RNAcentral.
GGCGAUUUAGCUCAGUUGGUUAGAGCGUGUGCUUAACACUAGGACUGUCAGUCAGUCAAGCGUUGCGCACAAGGUCGGCGGUUCGACCCCGUCAAACGUCA